Molecule: ribosomal RNA, 1241 nt
Filed under: uncultured archaeon
Lineage: Archaea
Description: bacterial SSU rRNA
Rfam family: Archaeal small subunit ribosomal RNA
Source: RNAcentral
GUUGAAUAGGCUGAUGCCCGGGUAAAGUCCCGGGCAUACCGAUAAUCAAUACGGGCCUUGAGAGAGGAAGCCCCGGAGAUGGAUUCUGAGACAAGAAUCCAGGUCCUACGGCACGCAUCAGGCGCGAAAAUUCCACAAUGCGCGAAAGCGUUAUGGAGAGACCCGAAGUGGCUUCGCAAAGCGGAGUCUUUUGCCAAGUCCAAAAAGCUUGGAGAAUAAGGGGUGGGUAAGACGGGUGCCAGCCGCCGCGGUAAUACCCGCGCCCCUAGUGGUAGCCGCUUUUAUUGGGUUUAAAGCGUCCGUAGCCGGUUUGCAUAGUUUCUAAUGAAAUCUCACAGUAAACUGGGAGAAUUGUUAGGAAUACUGGCAAGCUUGGGACCGGGAGAGGUAAGGAGUACUGUAGGGGUAAGGGUAAAAUGUGAUGCUCGCGAAAAAUCGCUCACAAACAAUGCUAAGCAUUCGCUUACAUUCUUAUAAUCCUUACAGGACUACCAGUGGCGAAGGCGCCUUACUAGAACGGAUCCGACGGUGAGGGGCGAAAGCUAGGGGAGCAAAGGGGAUUAGAUACCCCCGUAGUCCUAGCUGUAAACGAUACCCACUAGACGUUGGAUAUCCUACGAGGGUAUCCAGUGUCACAGGGAAACCGAUAAGUGGGUCACCUGGGGAGUACGGCCGCAAGACUGAACUUAACGGAAUUGGCGGGGGAGCACACAAGGGGUGGAGGCUGCGGUUUAAUUGGAUUCAACGCCAGGAACCUUACCAGAGGCGACAGCAGAAUGAAGGUCAAGCUGAAGACUUUACCAGACAAGCUGAGAAGUAGUGCAUGGCCGUCGUCAGUUCGUGUCGUGAGAUGUCGCGUUAAGUCGCGUAACGAACAAGACCCGUGCCCUAUGUUGCAACCUUUUAAUCUAUUAAGAGGGCACUCAUAGGGGACCGCUGCCGAAAAGGCAGAGGAAGGUGCGGUCGACGGCAGGUCUGUAUGCCCUGAAUCCUCUGGGUUACACGCGGCCUACAAUGGGUAGUACAAUGAGAUGCAACACCGAAAGGUGAAGCCAACCUCCAAAACUGCCCCUAGUUCAGAUCGAGGAUUGCAACUCAUCCUCGUGAAGCCGAAAUCCCUAGUAGUCGCUGGUUAGCAUCCAGCGGCGAAUACGUUCCUGCUCCUUGCACACACUGCCCGUCAAGCCAUCUGAAUGGGGCGUUGGUGAGGCUUCUCCAUUUUGGAAGAGUCGAGCCAGUGG